This 1177-nucleotide long non-coding RNA is filed under the name Salmo salar (Atlantic salmon). Its description in RNAcentral is "lncRNA (ENSSSAG00000099546.1)". Lineage: Eukaryota; Metazoa; Chordata; Actinopteri; Salmoniformes; Salmonidae. The record is from RNAcentral.
AGAAAUCUUUCUGAUUGAGAGGGGGUCAAAUACUCAUUUCCCUCAUUAAAAUGCUAAUCAAUUUAUAACAUUUUUGCCAUGCGUUUUUCUGGAUUUUUGUUGUUGUUAUUCUGUCUCUCACUGUUCAAAUAAACCUACCAUUAAAAUUAUAGACUGAUCAUUUCUUUGUCAGUGGGCAAACGUACAAAAUCAGCAGGGGAUCAAAUACUUUUUUCCCUCACUGUAGUCUACGGACUCUGGCUGUUUGCAUCCCAAAUGGCACCCUAUUCCCUACCCACUGGGCACAGACGUCAGUUCAACAUCUAGUUUUGAUUAACAUUUGGUUGAGUUGUCAACUAACAUGAAUUCAAUGUGAAAUGAACAAUAAAAAAUGUCACUAUGUCAUUGGGUUUAGAUUAAAAGUUUGGUGAAAAGAAAUGUCCGUUUUUGUCACGAGAAUUUCUAUCCCAAUGUUCUAACUGAACUAUUGUAUAUCUCUUGUCUAAUUCCUGAAGGUUGUAAAUCUCCAGUUCAAAGAAAUAGACAGUCUCAGCCUGCAAUAGAUCAAUACUUUAUUUAGAGAGCGCUCUGCGAAUCUUUUUAUACACACACACACAAACAAGUUCAAAUCUUAAAUUACGCCUUGCUCAGACAGUUACUUUUCCACUACACACAUACAUUGUUUAUCAUAUUCUGCAACAUGUUUCAUCAUUUUCUGCAAGCCUAACAAUUUCUCUCCUCCACGGGUGGGGACAGAAUGUCCUGUUAUUGGUUUCACAGUAGCACAACUUGUCAAUCGAUAGCUCCUCUUAUCCUUUGUUUCACACUUGCACCCUGCUUACAUAGCUAAACAGGAACAAAAUGUCCUGGUCAAAUGGCACCCUAUUCCCUAUGGGCCCUGGUCAAAUGGCACCCUAUUCCCUAUGGGCCCUGGUCAAAUGGCACCCUAUUCCCUAUAGGUCCUGGUCAAAUGGCACCCUAUUCCCUAUGGGCCCUGGUCAAAUGUAGUGCACUACAUAGAGAAUAGGUUGCCAUUUGGGACACAUCCCUUUACUACAUAGUGAAGUGGGGACAUGAACAGGAGAAGUCAGGUUUCGCACCUUUAACGUUUGCCUGCGGACCGUCAAUUGAAUGGAGUCUGUAGACAUGAUGUAAUGACUGCUCAUAUUCAACAGAGGGCGCUGGAACAUAAGCGAUA